UUGGACUAGACAACCUUUAGGGGUCCCUUCCAACACAAAUGUGAUCUAGCUAGAAUUCCCAGCCUGUCCUACCUGGGAGCAGCUUGAUGAUGUUUCAUUUGUAGGCCUGUAGCACUGAAUUUGCUGUCCCUGGAUGCUACCCACCUUGCAGAACUGUGCUUGCUUUCAUCCACAGCUGCCUCCUGCUUGCCCCCACCUGCAGCUGCAGUGGCUUUGGGGGCUGGUGCCUCCUUACACCACCUGGGCUGUACUUUUGGCACCAGUCUAAUAGUAGAAUACCUCAAGUCUAGGCUUGAUUAGAAGUCUUAACAUGCCCGCUUCACUGUUGCAGUGAAGUUCUCUGUUAUGUGCUCUGCAAGAUGGGUAACUUUGGAACAGAGUAUUUGCUUUUAAUGUUUAGUGGUCCUGUUUUGUUUGUUUGUUUUCUGGCAUUCUCAGUGCUCCCCUCUCUCAUAGGCUUAGUCAUGGUAGCAGGGAUUUUUAGGGAACAUGCAUUACAGAAGGCAGACAACGUGAUAGAAAUAUAUGUAACACACUGGCAAGCACUUAAAAAAAUAAAAUGCAGUCACAUAAUUCCUUGUGUGCGUGUUGGUGUGAUCUGAGCAUGAAUGGCAGGGUCAGGACACAGCUAGAUUGCUAUGAACGUCGUGUGGCUCGGGGUAUUUAUAAAUAAAACAACCUGGCUGUUUUCAUUAUAAAUGGAUGUCCUUUGAGUUGGAUUCAGCCUCGAGAUCCUAUCAAAAAAUUGCCUCCAAGCUGGCUGGAAUCCCAGGGAUUCUGAGGUGUCCUGAGGUUUUGUAGCACACCACCGCUCUCAAAGCUUUCACACCAGAUACAGCCUGUAUGGAUCUCAGGUUUUUCGGUGGCAUUCACUGCAUUUGCACAGUUCUUCUUUUUGAGUGCCCUGCACUGAAUCAGUUUCCAUUAACCACUGUGUGACUACUGCUUUUUCUUCCUAGAGCUUCGGAAGAGCCAAACCUCCCCUUACUGGAGGAAACAGCUCAUUCGCUAUCUGCCUGCUGCAGAAUGAACUUUUAACUUGGGCUUAUCCUAGCAUACUCAGUUUGCUCAUUUAUUUGCUGGCUUUUGAACAUUUCUGCACAAUGUUAGAUUUCUGAGCUCUUCUGGGACUCAAAUAAUUCAAACACUUCAGUUUAAACUUCUGUCAUUAAGUGUAUAUGAACAAUGUCCCAAAUGCCUCUCUAUGUUCAGCGUUGUGAAAUGUGUCAAAUGGUGUCAAAGGAGCAUUUGAACCCGAAGUAAAUAUUAACAAAUGU
RNAcentral lists this long non-coding RNA (1277 nucleotides) under Gallus gallus (chicken). Its description in RNAcentral is "lncRNA (ENSGALG00010016019.1)". The record is from RNAcentral. Lineage: Eukaryota; Metazoa; Chordata; Aves; Galliformes; Phasianidae.